This 296-nucleotide long non-coding RNA is filed under the name Elaeis guineensis (African oil palm). RNAcentral's name for it is "long non-coding RNA (EGUI_LNC058656)". Lineage: Eukaryota; Viridiplantae; Streptophyta; Magnoliopsida; Arecales; Arecaceae. The record is from RNAcentral.
UUACCUUGAUCACAGCAAAAUAGAGAUCAAAUCUCCAGAGGUUGCUUGAAUCCGAUGCCUUGCGAGGCCUGAAAGCACAGGCUCUCUACUUUGCGCACACGCUAGGCUCCGUAAGAAAAAAGGAUGAUCUUCUUUUUGCCAAUCUUUAGGAGGGAAUAUAGGGAGGGAGGAGAUCUGAUUUCCUCUCCUUAGGGAUACCUGGAAAGGAGUCCUCACACCCAAAAGAGAAUCACCCAAGAUAUCUCACGAUAAGAAAGAAAGAACACCUUCUAUCUAUUUUUGGACUUAUCCUAACA